This is a long non-coding RNA of Notolabrus celidotus (New Zealand spotty), 256 nucleotides long. RefSeq lists it as uncharacterized. The transcript has 3 exons. Lineage: Eukaryota; Metazoa; Chordata; Actinopteri; Labriformes; Labridae. The record is from RefSeq and is a predicted model, not a curated record.
GGAGGCUGAGCUGGCUGUGUGUUCAUCAUGAGUGCAUCUACAAGGACCACAGAACAGUAAGAACCUGUCCCUGGACAGCCAUGCAUUACACAGAGGUCUCUACAGAACAUAUGGAGUGAUGAUUGCUGUCGCACUGGUGCAUGGAGGAGUGUUGCCUUCUUUUUUUUCUGAGAGGCUCUACCAAAACCUUUGCUCUUUACCUGCAUCACCACCCACUCUCGAAGAAGUAGCAGAUCAGGAUUUGCAGUUGAAACUC